GAUGAAGAACGCAGCGAAAUGCGAUAAGUAAUGUGAAUUGCAGAAUUCAGUGAAUCAUCGAAUCUUUGAACGCACAUUGCGCCCCCUGGUAUUCCGGGGGGCAUGCCUGUUCGAGCGUCAUUACAACCCUCAAGCUCUGCUUGGUAUUGGGCCCCGCCAGUUCUGGCGGGCCCUAAAGUCAGUGGCGGUGCCUUCCGGCUCCGAGCGUAGUAAUUCCUCUCGCUCUGGAGACCCGGUUGUGUGCUUGCCAACAACCCCCAAUUUUUUAAGGUUGACCUCGGAUCAGGUAGGGAUACCCGCUGAACUUAAGCAUAUCAAUAAGCGGAGGA
RNAcentral lists this unclassified non-coding RNA (329 nucleotides) under soil metagenome. Its description in RNAcentral is "partial contains 5.8S ribosomal RNA, internal transcribed spacer 2, and large subunit ribosomal RNA". The stretch from base 1 to 120 matches the Rfam family "5.8S ribosomal RNA", at positions 35 to 154 of the family's 154-position model. The record is from RNAcentral.